Small nuclear RNA from Pan paniscus (pygmy chimpanzee), 191 nucleotides. Its record names the gene U2. It matches the Rfam family "U2 spliceosomal RNA". From Rfam's summary of the family: U2 is a small nuclear RNA (snRNA) component of the spliceosome (involved in pre-mRNA splicing). Complementary binding between U2 snRNA (in an area lying towards the 5' end but 3' to hairpin I) and the branchpoint sequence (BPS) of the intron results the bulging out of an unpaired adenosine, on the BPS, which initiates a nucleophilic attack at the intronic 5' splice site, thus starting the first of two transesterification reactions that mediate splicing. NCBI's taxonomy places the organism in Eukaryota, Metazoa, Chordata, Mammalia, Primates, Hominidae. The record is from Ensembl.
ACAACUUUUCGGCGUUUUAGCUAAUAUCAAAUGUAGUAUUUGUUUUUAUUAGCUUAAUAUCUGGUGUGUUCUGUAUUUGAGAACGCUAUAGUAAACGCAUUUUUGGAAUUGGGAGAUGGAGUGAGAGCUUGCCCUAUCCAAUCUGUGCAUCGAUCCGGUAUUGCAGUACUUCCAGAAACGGUGCACCUACU